RNAcentral lists this ribosomal RNA (498 nucleotides) under uncultured bacterium. RNAcentral describes it as "bacterial SSU rRNA". It matches the Rfam family "Bacterial small subunit ribosomal RNA", at positions 26 to 518 of the family's 1533-position model. The record is from RNAcentral.
AGGACGAACGCUGGCGGCGUGCCUAACACAUGCAAGUCGAACGGAACGUAAUUUGUACGGAUUCUUCGGAUGACGGAUGUUAGUUAGUGGCGGACGGGUGAGUAACGCGUGAGUAACCCGCCUCUGAGAGGGGAAGUAACGUUACUGAAAAGAAACGCUAAUACCGCAUAACAUUGCGAGGUCGCAUGGCCAUGCAAUCAAAGAUUUUAUCGCUCGGAGAUGGACUCGCGUCCGAUUAGUUAGUUGGUGAGGUAACGGCUCACCAAGACCGCGAUCGGUAGCCGGACUGAGAGGUUGAUCGGCCACAUUGGGACUGAGACACGGCCCAGACUCCUACGGGAGGCAGCAGUGGGGGAUAUUGCGCAAUGGGGGCAACCCUGAACCGCAGCAACGCCGCGUGAAGGAUGAAGGUUUUCGGAUUGUAAACUUCUUUUAUCAGGGACGAAAUCUGACGGUACCUGAUGAAUAAGCUCCGGCUAACUACGUGCCAGCAGCCGC